UAUCGUCCUUACGGAUGAAAGCCUUCGGGCGCCAGAAGAGCAGCCUGCGUCCCAUUAUUUAGUCCUAGUUGGUGAGGUAACGGCUCACCAAGGGUACGAUGGGUAGCUGGUCUGAGAGGAUGAUCAGCCACACUGGAACUGAGACACGGUCCAGACUCCUACGGGAGGCAGCAGUGGGAAUAUUGCGCAAUGGGCGAAAGCCUGACGCAGCCACGCCGCGUGAGUGAUGAAGGCCUUCGGGUUGUAAAGCUCUGUCGGGAGGGAAGACGGGAGAAAUCCCAGACGGUACCUCGCAAGAAAGCACCGGCUAACUCUGUGCCAGCAGCCGCGGUAAUACAGAGGGUGCAAGCGUUGCUCGGAUUUACUGGGCGUAAAGCGUACGCAGACGGUCACGCAGGUCGGAUGUGAAAGCCCCGGGCUCAACCCGGGAACUGCAUUCGAAACCAUGUGACUUGAGGAUGGUAGAGGAGAGCGGAAUUCCCGGUGUAGAGGUGAAAUUCGUAGAUAUCGGGAGG
This 515-nucleotide ribosomal RNA is filed under the name uncultured bacterium. RNAcentral's name for it is "bacterial SSU rRNA". It matches the Rfam family "Bacterial small subunit ribosomal RNA", at positions 174 to 704 of the family's 1533-position model. The record is from RNAcentral.